AUGUUGCAUUAUAAAGAAAUGAGUUCUAUCAUUUGUCAUGCCAUGGAAGUAUGGUUUGAAGUUUCCUUACUGUCAAGAUUUUUCUUCAACAUCUACAAGCUGGCUAGCAAAAUUAUUGCAACUACAGUUCACAUCAGUUCAUUCGUCGCAAGGAAAAAAAUCUACUUGCUGUCGGGAACCAAAGCAACAACAGAUCAAGUUACUUGGUCGGAAGAAAUUGUCAAGGGUCGCAGCUUACGCAUGAUUGGAAGUGGCAAUCUUUUGUCUAUCUCACCUAAGUUACAUGAUAUAAAAGAUGUAGAACAACCUAGAAUUUUGCGUCUCAACUAUGUGUCAUAUUUUCUUAUUAUCAUAUACUUUUUUUUGAGAUGGUCUUACUAUUAUACUUUGUAA
Molecule: ribosomal RNA, 393 nt
Filed under: Triticum aestivum (bread wheat)
Lineage: Eukaryota; Viridiplantae; Streptophyta; Magnoliopsida; Poales; Poaceae
Description: partial small subunit ribosomal RNA
Source: RNAcentral